AUUCUUUGCCCGAGUGUCGUGCCGGGGAUUUUAAAUUGCCCCCGUUGCUGGUCUUAGCCUGUGGGGAGCCAGACCAGCUCGCGAUUGAGGCUGGGACCAUUACUACCAGUACGAGUGGACCCGCGGGGCACAAGCCUUCCUGUGUGUGUGUGUGUGUGUGUGUGUGUGUGUGUGUGUGUGUGUGUGUGUGUGUGUGGUUUCUUUUAUUAAAGCUAUUAAAGUGUGUUUUAGUUCUUUGUAUCAUCUGUAGCGAGCCUGACGCUCAGUGUCCUGUUAUUCUUUUAACAUAUUUUUCUGUGUUUUCUUUUAGUGAACGGAGGACGUACCAGUGGCCCUGGGACCUCAGGUGGUGGGUCGUUUUCACACUUUCUUUUGUACAGCACCGGGUGGGCUGCAGUGAUUUUCGUUGUGUGUGAUUUUCUUUUGGGUCCACGGCUGCUGGUGGCGUUGUCAUUUUAUUUCCUUUUAUCUAACCC
Oreochromis aureus is the source of this 476-nucleotide long non-coding RNA. Lineage: Eukaryota; Metazoa; Chordata; Actinopteri; Cichliformes; Cichlidae. The record is from Ensembl.